Long non-coding RNA from Haliotis rubra (blacklip abalone), 175 nucleotides. RefSeq lists it as uncharacterized. The record is from RefSeq and is a predicted model, not a curated record. The transcript has 3 exons. Lineage: Eukaryota; Metazoa; Mollusca; Gastropoda; Lepetellida; Haliotidae.
CAAGUUCCAGGAAUGCUGAGUCUAUGGAAGAACUCACCCAGACAAUGUUGAAGGCAAGGAAGUAUUACAAUAAACUGAUCACCAUCAAGAAAGAGAUGUCCAAUCUCCAUGACAAGUCAGGGAAGCUCAAGAAGCGGGCCGUCAAGCUGCAGCAGCAGCGUCAGAAGGAGGAGCU